RNAcentral lists this unclassified non-coding RNA (857 nucleotides) under Hevea brasiliensis (rubber tree). The record is from RNAcentral. Lineage: Eukaryota; Viridiplantae; Streptophyta; Magnoliopsida; Malpighiales; Euphorbiaceae.
AUUUCUUGAACCUAAUCUAAUUUACGAACAUGAAGUAGUAGAUUUUCACACAAAUUUAAAGAUAUUGGAAGGGAAUGUGGUAACUUCUAUUGUGAAGGGAGUAGAGAUUAUCUUUGAUGCAACUAAGCUGGGUGAAAUUUUACACUCUAUGGGUAUUACUGACUAUUGUUGGGUUUCUGAUGAGCACUCUGGUCUUCCGUCCAUGUUCUCUCAAGGAAGGGUCACCUCUAGGGUUCAGACCGUGUUAAAGGGAGUCAUGGGACCAGUUCAUAAACUUCUAUUCAAAAUAGUGCACAAAGGGAUAUUACCCAGGGGUCACUAUCGUCAUAUUGCUUCUCUAAGGGACAUAGGACUUAUGAAUGCUCUUGAAUGCAAAGACCAUAUUGAUUUACUAAUUAUCAAACAUUUGGCUCGAAUUUUUGAUCCUCAACUUGGUUCUCAUCAAUUGGCAUUCGAUAAUCUUCUAACCAGAGUGUUUACUGUGUUUGAGGUGGCAUUGGGGGAAGGAUGGGCUUUGACUCGCGCAGACAUGUUUACUCAAUCAAUUCUCGCUGAUUGUGGCAUUCCCAUUGAACCGGAGCAGGUUUCUAAUGCUUCUCCAUGUCCAUUUGGUCCUGUUUCUCAAUUGCUUAGGGAACUCAAAGUUGUAGAAGACAAAACUGCCACCCUUGAAUUGGAAAACUAGACUUUGCGUGGUGAACUUCGCCCUUCCCAUGCUGAGAUUGAUCGUCUGAAAGAUCACUUGGUGUAACAACAGCUUGUUAACAAUGCAAGGGUUGACAGAGUCCUUGAUGUGCUUGUUUCUUCCUCCUCCCAUCCUUCCAAGCCUAGCCAAUCCUCAACUUAAAUAGAACUUA